Molecule: ribosomal RNA, 492 nt
Filed under: uncultured bacterium
Lineage: Bacteria
Description: partial 16S ribosomal RNA
Rfam family: Bacterial small subunit ribosomal RNA
Source: RNAcentral
AGUGAACGCUGGCGGUAGGCCUAACACAUGCAAGUCGAACGGCAGCACAGUAAGAGCUUGCUCUUACGGGUGGCGAGUGGCGGACGGGUGAGGAAUACAUCGGAAUCUACUUUUUCGUGGGGGAUAACGUAGGGAAACUUACGCUAAUACCGCAUACGACCUACGGGUGAAAGCAGGGGAUCUUCGGACCUUGCGCGAUUGGAUGAGCCGAUGUCGGAUUAGCUAGUUGGCGGGGUAAAGGCCCACCAAGGCGACGAUCCGUAGCUGGUCUGAGAGGAUGAUCAGCCACACUGGAACUGAGACACGGUCCAGACUCCUACGGGAGGCAGCAGUGGGGAAUAUUGGACAAUGGGCGCAAGCCUGAUCCAGCCAUACCGUGUGGGUGAAGAAGGCCUUCGGGUUGUAAAGCCCUUUUGUUGGGAAAGAAAAGCAGCAGGUUAAUACCCCGCUGUUCUGACGGUACCCAAAGAAUAAGCACCGGCUAACUUCGUG